UCAGAGUGAACGCUGGCGGCGUGCCUAACACAUGCAAGUCGAACGAGAACGGGUUUAGUUUACUAAACUGUCAGCUAAGUGGCGCACGGGUGAGUAAUGUAUAGUUAACCUGCCCUCUAGAAAGGAAUAACAGUUGGAAACGACUGCUAAUGCCCUAUAUGCCCAUAAUACAAAAGUAUGCUGGGGAAACGCUUUAGUGCUAGAGGAUGGGACUGUAUGGUAUCAGAUAGUUGGUGAGGUAAUGGCUCACCAAGUCAAUGACGCCUAACUGGUUUGAGAGGAUGAUCAGUCACACUGGAACUGAGACACGGUCCAGACUCCUACGGGAGGCAGCAGUGGGGAAUAUUGCACAAUGGAGGAAACUCUGAUGCAGCAACGCCGCGUGGAGGAUGACACUUUUCGGAGCGUAAACUCCUUUUAUAUAGGAAGAUAAUGACGGUACUAUAUGAAUAAGCACCGGCUAACUCCGUGCCAGCAGCCGCGGUAAUACGGAGGGUGCAAGCGUUACUCGGAAUCACUGGGCGUAAAGAGCGUGUAGGCGGGUUAUUAAGUCAGAAGUGAAAUCCUAUGGCUCAACCAUAGAACUGCUUUUGAAACUGGUAACCUAGAGUAUGGGAGAGGUAGAUGGAAUUUCUGGUGUAGGGGUAAAAUCCGUAGAGAUCAGAAGGAAUACCGAUUGCGAAGGCGAUCUACUGGAACAUUACUGACGCUGAGACGCGAAAGCGUGGGGAGCAAACAGGAUUAGAUACCCUGGUAGUCCACGCCCUAAACGAUGUACACUAGUUGUUGCCAUGCUAGACAUGGCAGUAAUGCAGUUAACACAUUAAGUGUACCGCCUGGGGAGUACGGUCGCAAGAUUAAAACUCAAAGGAAUAGA
Molecule: ribosomal RNA, 877 nt
Filed under: uncultured Arcobacter sp.
Lineage: Bacteria; Pseudomonadati; Campylobacterota; Epsilonproteobacteria; Campylobacterales; Arcobacteraceae
Description: bacterial SSU rRNA
Rfam family: Bacterial small subunit ribosomal RNA
Source: RNAcentral